This 84-nucleotide transfer RNA is filed under the name Saccharothrix coeruleofusca. RNAcentral describes it as "tRNA-Ser". Lineage: Bacteria; Bacillati; Actinomycetota; Actinomycetes; Pseudonocardiales; Pseudonocardiaceae. The record is from RNAcentral.
UCGGUGGUGGGCAUCUCGGUGGUGCUGGUGGUGCUGGACCCGCCGCUGGCCGCGGUCGUGCUGUUCGGGUUCGUGCCGCUGAUC